RNAcentral lists this ribosomal RNA (419 nucleotides) under uncultured bacterium. RNAcentral describes it as "partial 16S ribosomal RNA". It matches the Rfam family "Bacterial small subunit ribosomal RNA", at positions 360 to 771 of the family's 1533-position model. The record is from RNAcentral.
AAUAUUGGACAAUGGGGGCAACCCUGAUCCAGCCAUGCCUCGUGUGUGAAUAAGGUCUUCGGAUUGUAAAGCACUUUAAGUUGGGAGGAAGGGCUUUAGGUUAAUACCCUGAAGUUUUGACGUUACCAACAGAAUAAGAACCUGCUAACCCUGUGCCAGCAGCCGCGGUAAUACAGAGGGUGCAAGCGUUAAACGGAAUUACUGGGCGUAAAGGGCGAGUAGGUGGUUCAGUAAGAUGGGUGUGAAAUCCCCGGGCUAAACCUGGGAACUGCUUUCAUAACUGCUGAGCUAGAGUACGGUAGAGGGUAGUGGAAUUUCCUGUGUAGCGGUGAAAUGCGUAGAUAUAGGAAGGAACACCAGUGGCGAAGGCGACUACCUGGACUGAUACUGACACUGAGGUGCGAAAGCGUGGGGAGCAA